UAACACGUAGGUAACCUGCCCAUGUGUCCGGGAUAACUGCUGGAAACGGUAGCUAAAACCGGAUAGGUAUACAGAGCGCAUGCUCAGUAUAUUAAAGCGCCCUUCGAGGCGUGAACAUGGAUGGACCUGCGGCGCAUUAGCUAGUUGGUGAGGUAACGGCCCACCAAGGCGAUGAUGCGUAGCCGGCCUGAGAGGGUAAACGGCCACAUUGGGACUGAGACACGGCCCAA
This 230-nucleotide ribosomal RNA is filed under the name uncultured bacterium. Its description in RNAcentral is "partial 16S ribosomal RNA". It matches the Rfam family "Bacterial small subunit ribosomal RNA", at positions 111 to 334 of the family's 1533-position model. The record is from RNAcentral.